Molecule: long non-coding RNA, 2023 nt
Filed under: Pongo abelii (Sumatran orangutan)
Lineage: Eukaryota; Metazoa; Chordata; Mammalia; Primates; Hominidae
Description: lincRNA
Source: RNAcentral
AAUGAGCGCCGUGUUUAAACAAGUGUAUAGAACACAUCUGUCCGGGCCUUGGGACUCGAGGCUGUGUGACCAAUUUCAGCAUCUGAAAGUUAAAUUAAUGGUAAAGGGUUUAAUUGUGAGUAAACAAUACCACAUUAAGGAGCAGUAAACACAGCAGUAGGGACCCACCGACCCGCUCUGCCAUCACAGAUGCGGCGGCCUCCAUGUGACCGUUAAUAGUCCCCACCGCCUGGAAGUUCUGACAGUGCCCUGAAGCCCAUUUGUCAUCUAAAUGGUCCGUCCCCUUCUUAAACAUCAUUUUGGCCCACGGUCCAUUCAUGGGGCCUGCUGGGUGUUCCUGGGAAAAUGGGCAGAAAAUCCCAAGGCCACCACUUAGUGCCAAUAAACAGAAGGUCUGGUUUCUUCAAAAGAAACACAAGAAAUUGUUUCCUGAUUUUGCCACAGAGAUUGGGUCACAGAGUGCCACCUAAAUGGUAUUACCAUAUUUGUGUUGUCGUCUCUUGGUUUGAAAUUUAUUCCUGGUAUGACUUGUGUCUUCCCUUGUUACAUCUCUGACACCCAAGCCAAUGAGAUGACAACCCAGGCUGAGAUGUCCCAUGUGUCACAAAGGAGUCCUUCAGUAUUUCCAGGAAUAGUUGGAACCAGCACUCCAUCCCCUACCUGGACCUGGCACCGUCUCUACUCUUGUCAGUUCUAUACUAAUCACAGGAAGAAGGUGGAAUUAGUCCAAGCUGGGUUUUCAGAAAUAACUUGUAGACAUGCAACAGAUGUUUAUAACCCUCAGAAGGGGAAGGAAACUUGGAAACCCUCUCUUUCAGUGAUUUUUUUUCUAAUGAUUGUCUCUGCCAUGAAAUUCUAACUUCGAAUGAAAUCUUUGGCAGGAGCCCAGGGCUGUUCUGUCAAGGUUCAGCUGCAGGACCAGAGCCCCUUCCACCUAACCCUCACUCCUAUCCUGAUGCUUCCUGAGGCACAUCUGCUGUGGUUUCUCACCAGAGAACAGUCUGCAAAAUCACUGCACCUUGUCCAACUCCAUUUUCCAACUGAGAAGACUUGGCCCAGAGAAGUGCACAGACUUCAGGAAAGUAACACAGCAAUCAGACAGACAGACAUCCCCAAAUAUACCUGCUACGGUCCUGGGAGAAAAUAGAGACCCAUCCCCAAAUACCAUCAUCCUCAUCAUUCUCUGUAGCCCAAUCCAAUGAUGCUCCAGGCCUGAGAUUUUAUCCAAUGAACACUCUGUACAUCUUUAAAAGAGAUAUGUACUUGUCUUUUUCUCCUUGUCUUUUUUUUUUUUUUUUAAAAACACAGGCCCCAGAUCCAGUCAUUCUAAAUAGGAAGGAAAAACAUAACCCAUUGAGGCAAUGGAUGCUGUUUCUCUCCCUCCUCUGUGACUUUAGUUUGCCUUUAAAGCCCAUUUUCACCAUUUAUUGAUUUUAGUUUUCUACUUGUCUAUGAAUGACAACUUGAAUUAAGACAACACAGGCUGAAAAGGCCACUAGGCAGUGCUAAAUGGACAAGCUACACUUCGUGGCAGAAUGUCUCAUGACCGUGCCGCCUUCUGCCUAGCCCCAUUCUCUGGAGGAGCUGUGGGCAGACCGACCCCCUCCUGGCCGCCUGGCAUGGGGACUGGUUGCGUCAGAUCGGAGCUCUGAGAUAAGGGUGGGCCAGGGCAUGAUCAUCACCACUGCCAGCCUCGAAGCCUCUUUGCUGACCUGGAGGUGAACUGUGUAUCAAAGGGGGCCGUGUCGUUCAACAGCACUUCCAGAAGAGGCGAAAGAUCUGUCUCUACUUCAGCCUCCACUGGGCAGAAGACUAAGCCUAUUUGCUCUAGGCCCUUCAGACUCGCACUUGGAGAAAGAAAACUCACUGAGUCAGCCCUUAUGUAACUCCACUCUCCUCUCUUCCAAACCUCCCUGCUUUGGACAAAUAUUUGACAGAAAAUGCCCUUUUGCAACACCUUAAAAGUUACAAAAAUGGUGCACCCUAUCCUUUAAUCUGUACUGUAAAUAAAAAAUAUUAACAC